RNAcentral lists this small nuclear RNA (138 nucleotides) under Carlito syrichta (Philippine tarsier). Its description in RNAcentral is "U4 spliceosomal RNA (ENSTSYG00000036122.1)". It matches the Rfam family "U4 spliceosomal RNA". From Rfam's summary of the family: U4 small nuclear RNA (U4 snRNA) is a component of the major U2-dependent spliceosome. The record is from RNAcentral. Lineage: Eukaryota; Metazoa; Chordata; Mammalia; Primates; Tarsiidae.
AGCUUUGCACAGUGGUAGUCUUGCAGUCAGUGAGGUUACCUGAUAUGUGAUUAUUGCUAACUGAGAACUUCCCCAUACCCUGCCACAAUGACUUGAAAAUAUAGUUGGCAUUGGCAAGUUUUGACAGCUUCAAUGGAG